GUCCUGGCAGUAAACGAUGUCGACUGGGCGCGCGCGGGCUUGACCCCGUGCGUGCCGGAGCUAACGCGGUAAGUCGACCGCCUGGGGAGUACGGCCGCAAGGCUAAAACUCAAAGGAAUUGACGGGGGCCCCGCACAAGCAGCGGAGCGUGCGGUUUAAUUCGACGCAACGCGCAGAACCUUACCAGGCCUUGACAUGCCGCUGCAAGCGCACGGAAACGUGUGACCUUCGAGGGUGCGGCACAGGUGCUGCAUGGCUGUCGU
This 263-nucleotide ribosomal RNA is filed under the name uncultured bacterium. Its description in RNAcentral is "partial 16S ribosomal RNA". It matches the Rfam family "Bacterial small subunit ribosomal RNA", at positions 793 to 1055 of the family's 1533-position model. The record is from RNAcentral.